Molecule: microRNA precursor, 247 nt
Filed under: Oryza sativa (Asian cultivated rice)
Lineage: Eukaryota; Viridiplantae; Streptophyta; Magnoliopsida; Poales; Poaceae
Description: miR5821 stem-loop (osa-MIR5821)
Source: miRBase by way of RNAcentral
CUGGCAGUGGACGGAGCGAUGGUGGGCGGCUGGCGGUGGGCAGCGGGAGGAAGCGGAGCUGAGCAGCGGCGGGGCGAAAUGGAGCGACAGCGGGCGGUGGGCAGAGCGACAAGGGCGAAGAGGCCGGUGAGCCACCGCUCCUCUUCCGCCUUCCCAUCGGCCACCCUCUCCACCGGCGCAACGCGCGCCACCGCUCCUCUCCCUCCCACCCAUCGACUGGUGUGCACCGCCAACCCUUUCCCGCCGG